GAAGUUCAUUGUUGCCAGAAAAAACAAGAAACAGCAUAUCUGAAAUUUAAUCUUCCUUAAAUUUGCAGAGCAGUCUAAAGAGAAGAUUAACCAUAUAAACUGGGCAUAUUUCGUUAUUCCUCUCAGGAUAUGCAUAAUAACUUUCCCCCACCCAGUGUUUUCUGUUGCUAUUGAUUACUGAGUUUCACUCCUCAGUAAAUUCAGUCUCAGCAAAGGGGAUCCCCUUGGUCACACUCUGGGCAAAAAAGGGCUGCUCUGAUGGCUGUGAAGCUUUCUCAGUCCACUGAGGGCAACAUCACUGACUUCAGCAGAGACAAACAUAAUAUGUAAUUUUUUUUGUAUAUUUCUUUCAUGAAAGAAAGUUAGUCCUUUGCUGCAACUUCAAAAUUACAGAAACAGACAUUGCCAGAAUUGGUUUAUCAUCAGUGGCAUCUCUUGACUUCAUCUCAAGAACAGGGAAUAUUGAAUAUAUUUUUACUCAAUGAAAGAGAUAAGUUAUUGUGCAUUUUCAUUUAUGCUACUCCGUCUCCAGAAGACUUGUUAAAAAUCAUAAGCUAGAUCACCCAUCGCCAUGGAAACUGGGAGAAAACAUCAGUGCUGAAGGAUUUAUUUCAUAUUGCUUGAAUUAAAUAGUUUACACCAGGGUUGGUUCUUUGUUCUGAGACUGUUGCUGGACCUUCAAACUUUGUUACUUGAACGUAGAUUCUCUCCACAGUUUGACAGUGAAUCUUCUUCAAGUUACAUCUGGAGGACUCUUUCCUGUCCUAAACUCUCGGGAAGGCUAGGUUGACAUAGACAGUUAUUCCAAGGGAAAAAAGCAUACCUUAAAUAUUUGAGUGGCCAAUUUUGCUUUCUGUGACCUGUGUGGUCUAAGCCUUCACAGCCUUUGAAACUACCUUUGAGUUAUUGUUGCAGUUCAGUCAAGCGGGACUACUCACAUUAUCAGCUUCCAAACUGCAGAGCAGGAAUUACUUGGCAGUGAUGAUCCAUUCUGGGUAACCCACAACUUAUGCUCUCCCUAGCCAUCUCAGGCUCACACUAAAUCCUCUUAACUUUCAAGAAAUCCUGGAAAACAUCUUUACCUGUGGUUGCUUUCAGGCAGGAAAAAAAGACUGCAUAGAAACAAAGCAAGUCAUACAACUGCUGGAAAACUUCUGUCUUCUUGUUGGUCUCUUAGGUUUUAGAAUCUGGCUUAGUCUGAAAGGCUUUGUCAUUAUUUAUAUUUUUGCUGUAUUUAUAAUUAUCUGGGUAAGUAUUUGAUUGAGGACAGGCACUUUUAAAGUUGAAAGUAAAUAUUGGCUAAACUCAUAUUCCAAAAUAUUCUACAUAGCAAAGUCCCUCUGAAAGCAUUUUGGUUGACCUUGCUUGGCAUUACUGCAGCAUGAUUACCCUCUGUUCUCUCACAAGGAGAGAGAAAAGUUGAAUACAUCAGUCAAAAUAAGCAGACUGGUUUGCUUUAAGUCCUACUUACUAAAGCAAACCCAAAAUAAUGAACUAACUUUGAUUCUUAAAUAAACAUAUUUGAGAUUGUUAUUUUAACACAUCUGGUAACAUGAAAUGGCCUCUUCUGAGUCUCACAAACGUCCAUAUCUACUAGUCCCAAAUCCUCAUAAGCACUAAGAUCUUGUUUUCCAAUCUGUCUUUUGGAAUGAAUGACUUUAACCAAACGUGUCACUGAACCUAUUGUAUUUGAAGUAAAUGACUGAAGAGAUAAUAAGUAUAAAGAACUGAAUAAUGAAUUAUUGGAAAUAAUGUAUGAGAAAUAAUUGCAAUAAUAUGCGAGAACACUGUAAUAUAUGUGAAAAAAAAAGAACAAUAAAUCAGUUAUUUUUACUCUGAGAGCCAUUCCAAUCUGCAGCUCUUAUUUUCUGCACUGGAUUAUUGGGGGUUUCACUGCUGGUGUCCAGAUCUGGCAAGAAGAUAAGAGCUGUUAAUAAGAAACUCUCAUACUUGGGGAAAAUCUUGUAAGUCCUGAAGACCGUCAAAGAGCAAAAUCAUUGCAUGAUGUAAUCUAGUUGACUGGAGAAAAAAGAAAAGCCUCUUGAACACUGUGAGGAUACUAUAUACAGAUUUCUUGAAGUGCUUUGGUUAAGUAAAUAUAUGUGCUAUUUUAACAGUUCUUCUGAUGAGAGAGUAGAUUGAACAGAUA
This is a long non-coding RNA of Gallus gallus (chicken), 2149 nucleotides long. The record is from Ensembl. NCBI's taxonomy places the organism in Eukaryota, Metazoa, Chordata, Aves, Galliformes, Phasianidae.